GAACCUGUUGACCCGAGAGCACUCGUCAUGCUGCUUUUUGUAAUUCAGUCUGUGUGUUGUCUUCCUUAGGUUUGCUGAGCCUCCAGGUGCUAAGCGAAGAAACAAAUGAUUGCAAGGAAGAAGGGAAGAUUUCCCUAGCCACUGCCACCUCCACCAAGAAACCACCCACGAAACGGACCAGAUGGAACUUGUUGAAAUGCACUUAUAUGAUGGUCACCUUCCUGUUUGUGUCCUACAACAAAGGAGACUGGUGUUACUGUCACUCCUGUAGCACGGAAGUGGACAUCAGGAACGACCCCUGCUGCUCUUUCUAGCGACCCUGCUCUGUCCCCUCUGGGCGGUCGCCAGUCCUUCAUAUGCCCGCUAGUCUCGCCUCCAAGAACCCUGUCUGCCCGGGACCGCCAGUUUGGAGAGUGACGGACUGGGUCCUCUGAGGGGUGACACCUGUCUCUGCAGGAAGGUGUCCCUAAGGGUCCUGAUGAGGUGGACCCAGGGCGAGCGAGGGCCCUCAGGGGGCUUUCCACACCGCUGUCCCUGGCCUCUUCCCCCCCCCCCCCCCACUGUUUCUCUAAUUAAAUGUACACUAAUUGAGACC
Molecule: long non-coding RNA, 595 nt
Organism: Neofelis nebulosa (Clouded leopard)
Lineage: Eukaryota; Metazoa; Chordata; Mammalia; Carnivora; Felidae
Exons: 5
Source: RefSeq, a predicted model, not a curated record